This 253-nucleotide ribosomal RNA is filed under the name uncultured bacterium. RNAcentral's name for it is "partial 16S ribosomal RNA". It matches the Rfam family "Bacterial small subunit ribosomal RNA", at positions 524 to 776 of the family's 1533-position model. The record is from RNAcentral.
GACCGAGGGUGCAAACGUUGUUCGGAAUUACUGGGCGUAAAGCGUGCGCAGGCGGUCUCUUAAGACAGGCGUGAAAUCCCCGGGCUUAACCUGGGAACUGCGCCUGUAACUGAGAGGCUUGAGUGUGCCAGAGGGAGGUGGAAUUCCACGUGUAGCAGUGAAAUGCGUAGAGAUGUGGAGGAACACCGAUGGCGAAGGCAGCCCCCUGGGGUAACACUGACGCUCAGGCACGAAAGCGUGGGGAGCAAACAGG